AUGCAGCUCCGCCGCCUGCGUCGAGCAGCUCCGCCGUCGGUGUCGAGCGCUCCAUUGCAGCUCCGCGCCUGCGUCGAGCAUCUCCAUUGCAGCUCCGCCGUCGGCGUCGAGCGCUCCAUUGCAGCUCCCCCGCCGUCGCUCGAGUACUGCAACGGCACGCAAGGUUACAUUGCAUCACGGACGAGGUUGCAACGCACCGUGAUGGCCGUGGACAAGUUGUUGUGUCGCAUACUGGCGGCCAUCGACGCGUUGGUGCGUUGCAGCACCGGCGUUCGUCAACGAGCGCCGUUUCGUAUCGCCGGCAGCACCUCCCGGUUCCCCCGCUGCUGUGGUGGUGCUCACCAUGGCUCCCCUCAAUGGGCGCUGCUUUGCAACUAUGCCGCCUCCUGCGAUGCAACGGAGGAGCUCCGGCUGUUGGUGCCGACGGCCGGCGUCAAAGCUCUUCCAUCUUCCUAG
RNAcentral lists this ribosomal RNA (456 nucleotides) under Triticum aestivum (bread wheat). RNAcentral describes it as "partial small subunit ribosomal RNA". The record is from RNAcentral. Lineage: Eukaryota; Viridiplantae; Streptophyta; Magnoliopsida; Poales; Poaceae.